RNAcentral lists this transfer RNA (18 nucleotides) under Halictus rubicundus. RNAcentral's name for it is "tRNA-Leu". Lineage: Eukaryota; Metazoa; Arthropoda; Insecta; Hymenoptera; Halictidae. The record is from RNAcentral.
AUUUAUAUAAUAAAUAUA